UGCAGCCUCAGCCUCUCAGGAAGCACACUGCCAUCCAUCAGCCUGACACCAACCUUUAACGCUCCAUAGCUUUGCUCUUACUGCUUCAAGCUCAGACUCCACUGUCACAGCACCUCAGCCACACACCGAGCUCUCGUGCACCACGUCUUUGCCUGGCAGCCCCAAUCCCAUUCCUCUGUAGAUGGGAGGAGCUCACCCAUACCCAGCAUCUCUGUGCAGGGACACAUGGCUGCAGGGAGCUACGACUGCCUGAAAGGAGCACCUGUCUGGAGGAGCAAAGCUUGGUGUUAAGACGCAGGGCGAGGAGCGAAGGGGAAGAGCGCACGCCAAGGUCACAUCUGCAGCAGCAGCGACGGCAGCUGCACAGCAGCGAUAUUAAACCUCCCUCUGGUGUAGGAUACACACACAGACACUUCUUAAGAGCAACAACGAUCCACAUGAAUUGGAGCAGUCCCCAGAGGAGAGCUGCGUGGCUGGCGUGGCAGGGGGUGACUGAAGGGCACACAGUGAGGGUGGGAGCAGCGUGCCCGGCUGUAGAUGAGAGAUUCUCAGCUUUAUCACCCCCAAGUUUGGCAGUGAUUUGCAACUGGGGAGACGCUCAGCUCACCGCUUGCAAGGAAGCAGUGUGACCUGUGCCAAGAAGCAACGAGCAUCAGAAGGUGGAUAUUUCAAGUGAGCGGAACGAAGAUUAUCUACUUUUGUUGCUGCUUUUAAAGCAUAGUAGGAGGCAUCAGCUCUCCCACCUCUCUACUGGUACUCACUGUACCUCCUGGCUUCUCUGUCCAAAGCUGCUGGGGGCAAUGGCACCUUCCAGCAACUCCCUGCGAGCUGGAAACCUCCAGAGAAGCGGAGCAGAGCUGGAACACAAGGAGAUAACGGAGCUCGAGCCCAUUCAAAGCUGCCCGGGUGUCUGUGAGGGUGUAAUGCUCAGCACCAUCUAGUGGUCGUCACCUGCGGCUAUUCGCUCACACAACGCCACAAACGGGGCCUGUUUGAUUUACAGCACUUUUCUUCCCCAUAGCCAAUCUGUCAAGAGACGUGCAGCCCGCUCUGGCGUUUCGCAGGGCUCUGUAAGGACUGCUCAAGUUCUAAUCUCAUUGCUUGGGCUGACUUUCCUCCUCGCGAGGAGGAGAUGUUUUUCCUAAGGGAGAAUAUCCGUAAAAUAGGGGCAGUCUUUUAAGAUAUCAGCAGAGCUAUUUGAGAUACGCGGCUGAACGACAUCCAGUAUUGGUGCCAUUUAUCACAGCGGAGCCAGAGGGGGAGAAAGAGAAUGUAAUGCUGUAAAACAUAUGGAAAACAUUAUCCAAAUAGCACAAAUACGACAUAAAGCCACACACGCAAACAGGGCUUGGAUUUGGGCUCCCCAUAGCCCCUGCUAGACAAGUAAGGAUAAUGAGUUUUUAUUCACAAUGCAUUUAAAGGAGGCCCCACUCUCAUCUUCUCAGCCUGCCAUCAGCACUGCCUCUCUGCUUUUAUUUACAGCUGAACCUCCUGGGUGGAAUCGGAGAACAGAGGAAAAGGGGAGAGCAAGCGACAGAUGCCCACUGCUGCAAAGUACCGUUCAGCAUCUCCCAAAGGGUGAUCCAUCAGAAGGGACGUGCUGCUAAUCAGCAUGAAACCGACACACGUCACAUCCCCACAGAGCACAACACAGUGCAGAACAGCUCCGCAGAGAAAUGCUUUCUGGGGAGGGGACCUGGACACGCAGCUCUUCCCUUAGGCCUAUAGGUCCACCUCAGCCUUUCUCUCAUACUUACCCCAUUGGUGCUGAGAUCCAUAAAUGUUUUCUCUUUUGCUCCCUAAUCGCCACACAAACGUCCCAUUUUUAAGUGAAAAAAGAUAGAAGCAAUCUUUUAUAUCCUCUAUAGCUGAAGCUGGAGUGCUCCUUUACCAGGAAAUGGUUUCUUGUUAUCAGAAGAUGACAUCAUUAUUUUACAGUAAAAGCCUCAGCCCUAUUUUAUUUUUUUUCAGUCUUCUUUUCUUCCCCCAUCAUCUUGGAAACAGAACUCACCCAGUAGCUUGCAAAGAGCAAUAACUACAGAAAGAUGGUUUGGCUCUGUCUCCUGGAGACAGGCACUACCAACAUAGCAUCACUGACGAAGUUAAGACAAACUUCCUUCCCACAGUCACCUGCAGCUUACAGUGCCAUUCACAGUGGAAGAGCAGCCUGCCUUGAAUGCAGGGGAUUACGUUUCAUCCACACCUUUCUGGCUUCCUCCCCACUAAAGUUAACCAUACUGGCUCUCUUAUGUCACCCACUCUACCUGUAAGAGCAUAUAACACAACUGUCUCAUUGCUGGGCUAAUACAAGAGGGCAAGCUGUGUCUCUCUGGAAAACUCCCAGAGGAAGAGGGAUAAGUUGUCUUUGCACUUCUCUCAAAAUACCCUCCCCUCCUUCAAAGCAAUGUACCCAAGGGUGGGGAAAAGCCCUUAUAUCACUUACAUAAGGUAACAUAAGUGUGAGAAAGUGCUUUAAAUGGCCCUUAUUCCCCAAGAACCAAAGGAUACUGGGGGCCGGGGGGAGGAUGUGACAGCCUGCAACAGACCGUGGGAAUGAGGAAGGCCAUUAGGGACAGAUGUGAACUACUGUAGCAUCACCCCAUGCAAAGAUGCACCAGCCUGCUCAUCUGUGAAGUCACCUUUCAGGACUGCUGUUGUUUUCCUGCUUGGAAAGCAGUCCUCCUGGAGGCCUGAAGGAAGGAGGAGAUCCAGAAGCAGCAGUGGAACCAGACCUGCUAGUUCAGACCUGAGGUGCCACUCCAUCAGCACACUGCACGCUGCUGAGGGCAGUGGUGGCUCCCUGUCCUCUGCUUGUGCAAAGUCCCACUCCCCAGAGACAUUCAGGCCCAGGACCAGAACAACGAGCUACCUUCUCAAGGGUUACCAUAUUGCCUUUACAGGGGAGGAAAAAAAAAAAACCAAUACAAUCUGUAAAAUGAAAUAAAACCUGUUAUAGAGAGUGCAGAGUUCAGAGCCUCUCCAGGGAGCCAGAGCAAUAGAAAUGCAACAGGAAGACAGCUUCCAUCCCCAGCAUUAAUGAGUAACGAACAGAGGAAACGCGAGGAGCCCACGGGGAUAUGCUGCCUUAGCCCUGUCAGUCACAGAGGGUGACAGCUGAGACCUUUAAAAGCUGUCACAGGAAAUAAAGGCCCUCCAAAUGCCAAUCCUGUCAGCAGCAUAAUUAACAUGUCAUGUAUGGUCUGUUUGCAAGUGCAGCACUUACUGCAGCUCCAGCUCCAGGCUGUAAAAAACUCCGCUUGCCUGGCACUUCCUGCCCCAUGGAAUUAUGCCAAAGUCACUGCACAGCCAAGAAAAGGCAAACUGUAGUGUUUGGGAAGAUAGGAAUCAGUUUGCAUCCCAUACAGGAAGGCAAACCAACACCAAAGGCGCUGUUGUUCCUGCAGCUCCAGAGGAGCAUCUCUGGAAACAGAAUCCAGUGACACGCUCAGAAAAGUGCUGAGUAAGCCAUAAGUGCCAGAGCAGCAAGAAAGACCUCACGGUUUCCUAGCAGAGUUACAAACAUUGAAGUUAUUUUGCCAUUAUCCCCUGGAGUGGCAAAAUUUCUGGGGUAAGCCCACUGAACUGUAAGAACAAGAGGAAGAAAGCUGUAGCUGCAUGGUCCUCUUCCUUGUCACCCCCCCUCCCCACGACACAGCCCUCCAGGCAGCUUGGCAGGGCACAGCCUGGCAGGUUUGCAUCUAAAACUGCUUCAAGAAGCCUUGGAGCAAGGGCUUCUAGAAGGUUCUUCGACACAGUGUUGGCAUCCCAGGUUAGCCACUUUUGACAGCCAGUUUUACAACAGCAGCAGAUCUCAUACAGCAGCAGAACCUGCACAGCUUCAAAUGCUGCUCAACUGGAAAGGGUGCCCAGGAUCAGAGCACAACAACCUGUCUCCACACAGAAGAGCAGCCACAAGAUCUCACCUACGUUAUGUCUUCCUGGGGUCUCGCACAGACCAGAAGGAAUCUGACAGGUGCCCCAAGCACAUCCAUCUCACAAGGACAAAGCACUUGAAAGGGUGGAGGGAACACCUGUGGAGAACCCAUAAACCAGGUAGGUGUGAGGACUGCAACAGCUGGAGGAUCCUCCUCACUAACCUGUAGGUAGCAGUGAGAGGUAAAAAGGAAACAUCCCUCCGUUUCUGGCAGCAUACCUCAGGCAAACUUCAGAUGAUAGAUUCAGGUGUUACUGUGAGGAACGACAAAGACGGAGGAAGACAUGCUGGAGUAAGAGAAAAAGCAAGCAUGCAAAAGAGGAAUAAAAGAGCUUGACUAGUGGUAAGGCUGGUAAAAGAGCAGAUUUAUACUGAAUGUAACAAUUAGCAAUGAAAAUGCAUACAGAAGUCUAAUCUGUAGACAGCCUUUGUCUUCCACUGACCACUGUACAUUCCAUAGACCAAUCAAUUCUACAGGGAGGAAACAGAAGUAUGUGUAUUCUGAUAACCUUUCAAGUAAUCAGUACAUUCUGAUCCUCCCAGUAGGACCCCUGCUAGUCUGUAAACCAACAAAGCCCAGCAAGUGCCCUUAGUAACCACACGCAAAAUCUACUGAACAGUAAAAAGCAGAAGUUCUAUUAAAAGGCAGAAAAUUUAAAAUCACAAUCAUCUAUAAAAAUAAUCUAUUUCUACACAAUAAAUAUACCAUUUCUUUCUUCUUUCAAGUUGACUUAAAAUACUCAAGUUAAGGAUAUCUUACAAACAGCAAUGAGGAAUCUUAGUUUAUAUUUUGUGGGAAAGCUUUUCUUGCAAACUCCUGUUUCUGAAGUGAUUUGAAAAGAAAAAGGUCUUUUGAGAUACCAGGUCACUCAAAGUCCAGGGACCUGAGUCCAAUUCCUGUCUCAAAAUGCUUUUCUUUUCUCAGUAACCAAAAAUGAUAACAGCCCUGUGGUCAGCCCUGAGGUUCCUGUAAGGAGGGACAGCUUUAUCAGCAGCUCAUGCAUCAGAACAAAGGGAGAAAAAUGAAACAGCAAAGAAGUGAGAUGGAUAGGUGGUACUCCUGACUGUUGAAAGGGGUUUUCUGAGCCACACAAUGAGCUCUCACUGCCUGAAGUCAGCAGAGAUAGGAAAUAACACUAUCUGAACACGUGCUCAAAAUGCUUUGAAGUAAUACAUUCAUACCCAGGCUGCUGCUGUAGACAGGAAGGUCUCUCUGAGAUUACCAUCAGCUAUGUGAAUGAGCACAGAGAUAGUACACAUUUGGAUAGAUUGAUUUUUGUUAAGACCUGCCAAGGGCAAAGGAAAGGCAUAAAGUUUCCCUUAUAAUGAGAACGGUCUAAUUUGCAGUUCUGCACUAAGAAUUAUUUAUCAUGAAUCUUUGAUUCCUUUCACCCAG
This is a long non-coding RNA of Gallus gallus (chicken), 5330 nucleotides long. NCBI's taxonomy places the organism in Eukaryota, Metazoa, Chordata, Aves, Galliformes, Phasianidae. The record is from Ensembl.